GAGACAGCAGUCGCCGCGGUAAUACGGAGGGGGCUAGCGUUGUUCGGAAUUACUGGGCGUAAAGCGCACGCAGGCGGUCUGUCAAGUCAGAUGUGAAAUCCCCGGGCUUAACCUGGGAACUGCAUUUGAAACUGGCAGACUGGAGUCUUGUAGAGGGGGGUAGAAUUCCAGGUGUAGCGGUGAAAUGCGUAGAGAUCUGGAGGAAUACCGGUGGCGAAGGCGGCCCCCUGGACAAAGACUGACGCUCAGGUGCGAAAGCGUGGGGAGCAAACAGGAUUAGAUACCCCAGUAGUCCCUGUCUCUUAUAA
This 308-nucleotide ribosomal RNA is filed under the name uncultured bacterium. RNAcentral describes it as "partial 16S ribosomal RNA". It matches the Rfam family "Bacterial small subunit ribosomal RNA", at positions 505 to 809 of the family's 1533-position model. The record is from RNAcentral.